This 374-nucleotide ribosomal RNA is filed under the name uncultured organism. Its description in RNAcentral is "partial 16S ribosomal RNA". It matches the Rfam family "Bacterial small subunit ribosomal RNA", at positions 527 to 896 of the family's 1533-position model. The record is from RNAcentral.
GUAGGUGGCAAGCGUUGUCCGGAAUUAUUGGGCGUAAAGCGCGCGCAGGCGGUUCUUUAAGUCUGAUGUGAAAGCCCACGGCUCAACCGUGGAGGGUCAUUGGAAACUGGAGAACUUGAGUACAGAAGAGGAAAGCGGAAUUCCACGUGUAGCGGUGAAAUGCGUAGAGAUGUGGAGGAACACCAGUGGCGAAGGCGGCUUUCUGGUCUGUAACUGACGCUGAGGCGCGAAAGCGUGGGGGAGCAAACAGGAUUAGAUACCCUGGUAGUCCACGCCGUAAACGAUGAGUGCUAAGUGUUAGGGGGGUUUCCGCCCCUUACGUGCUGCAGCUAACGCAUUAAGCACUCCGCCCUGGGAGUACGGCCGCAAGGCUG